This 236-nucleotide long non-coding RNA is filed under the name Spirodela polyrhiza (greater duckweed). RNAcentral describes it as "long non-coding RNA (SPOL_LNC002254)". The record is from RNAcentral. Lineage: Eukaryota; Viridiplantae; Streptophyta; Magnoliopsida; Alismatales; Araceae.
UGCUGCUGCAGGGGACGGAACUGGAGCUUGGGCACGGCAUCUCCCGACAAGGAAGAGGAACAGGAAAAACCACAGACAGAGACCAAGCACAGGACGAGAUUGAGGCGUUGCCGCCGUCAUCUCUCCAAUCACUCCCCUUCCUCGGAGCCCUUCAACCAGAAGUAACAGAGUCUCCCGGAUUCCUGCGCCUCUCUCCUCCUGAGAAUCAGGAAGAUGAGGGAGAGAGAGAGCGAGUG